RNAcentral lists this unclassified non-coding RNA (298 nucleotides) under Thanatephorus cucumeris. RNAcentral describes it as "partial internal transcribed spacer region". The stretch from base 1 to 46 matches the Rfam family "Eukaryotic small subunit ribosomal RNA", at positions 1786 to 1831 of the family's 1831-position model. The record is from RNAcentral. Lineage: Eukaryota; Fungi; Basidiomycota; Agaricomycetes; Cantharellales; Ceratobasidiaceae.
AAGUCGUAACAAGGUUUCCGUAGGUGAACCUGCGGAAGGAUCAUUAUUGAAUUAAUGUAGAGUUUGGUUGUAGCUGGUCCCUAAUUAACUUGGGGGCAUGUGCACACCUUUCUCUUUCAUCCCAUACACACCUGUGCACCUGUGAGACAGAUGUUUUCUAGAGGGGAAGGAACUUUAUUGGACCUACUCUUCUUGGACUCUGUCUACUUAAUCUAUAUAAACUCAAUUUAUUUUAAAAUGAAUGUAAUGGAUGUAACACAUCUAAUACUAAGUUUCAACAAUGGAUCUCUUGGCUCUC